UCGGUUUUAAACAAACUUAACAUGAAAGUUGCUUAGAUUUUCGUCUAGUUUCAUAAUAUGCAACUUUCAUGCAUGUUUGAAAUGUUUAAAAUGCUGUUUGUUUAAAUUUUCCCCUAUGCCAUGUUAAAAUGCUUUACUUCAUAACUAAUUAACCGUAGCUCUGAAUUAAAUAAAUUAUAUAUGUGAAUGGGGUAGAAAAAUGCCUAGUUUAACAUGAUGCACUCAUCUAGCAUGUUUAACAACUCUAAAAUUAUGUUUAGGGCAGAACAGUACCAAACCUAAUAUAUGUAUAUGAGGAGUUCCCGGACUUGUUGUUUUGUUGUUCCGGCCUCAUUUAAACUUGCCUAGAUUAGAUAGUUUCAUCAUGUUUCACCUCUUGCCAUGAUAACAACAUUUAAUCUUGUUGGGUACAUAAACGAGAGAGAACUAAAUAAGUCACGUGGUGUUUCGUCAAUAUGCAACUCGUUGCAUAGUGAGCUCCACUUAAUUUGUAGGAUUACUUGUGCACUUUGCCAUACCAUGCUUCAUUAAACCGGACAUGCAUCAUACUUGAUUGUGCAUCAUGCCAUGUUCAUGUCGUGGUUGUUUACUAUGUUGUGUGCUUCUUUCCGGUGUUGCUUCUUCGGGUUGGUUCCGAGAAUGUCGCGUUUGUGAGGACCCGUUCGACUACGUCCAUUUGCCUUCUUCAUGGACUCGUUCUUCUUCCUUGCGGGAUUUCAGGCAAGAUGACCAUACCCUCGAAAUCACUUCUAUCUUUGCUUGCUAUUUGCUCGCUCUUUUGCUAUGCCUAUGCCGCGAUACCUACCACUUGCUUAUCAUGCCUCCUAUAUUGUUGAACCAAGCCUCUAACCCACCUUGUCCUAGCAAACCGUUGUUUGGCUAUGUUACCGGUUUGCUCAGCCCCUUUUAUAGCGUUGUUAGUUGCAGGUGAAGAUUGGAGCUUGUUCCAUGUUUGGAACAUGGAUAUUUUGUUGGGAUAUCACAAUAUCUCUUAUUUAAUUAAUGCAUCUAUAUACUUGGUAAAGGGUGGAAGGCCCGGCCUUAUGCCUGGUGUUUUGUUCCACUCUUGCCGCCCUAGUUUCCAUCAAAUCGGUGUUAUGUUCCCGGAUUUUGCGUUCCUUACGCGGUUGGGUUAUAAUGGGAACCCCUUGACAGUUCGCCUUGAAUAAAACUCCUCCAGCAAUGCCCAACCUUGGUUUUACCAUUUGCACUAACAACCUAGCCUCUUUUUCCCUUGGGUUCUGCAGACUCAAGGGUCAUCUUUAUUUUAACCCCCCCCCCCCGGGCCAGUGCUCCUCUGAGUGUUGGUCUGAACCGAGCUUCCUGCGGGGCCACCUCGGGGAAACUUGAGGGUUGGUUUUACUCAUAGCUAGUCUCAUCUAAGUGUGCCCUGAGAACGAGAUAUGUGCAGCUCCUAUCAGGAUUUGUCGGCACAUUCGGGCGGUGUUGCUGGACUUGUUUUACCAUUGUCGAGGAUGUCUUGUAACCUGGAUACCGAGCCUGAUCGGAUUGUCUUGGGAGAAGGAAUAUCCUUCGUUGACCGUGAGAGCUUGUGAUGGGCUAAGUUGGGACACCCCUGCUGGGUUUUGAACUUUUGAAAGCCGUGCCCGCGGUUAUGGGCAGAUGUGAAUUUGUUAAUGUUUGGUUGUAGAAAACCUGAAGUUGACCUUAAUUAAAAUGCACCAACCGCGUGUGUAAUCGUGAUGGUCUCUUCUCGGCGGAGUCCGGGAAGUGAACACGGUGUUGGAGUUAUGCUUGACGUAGGUUGUUCUAGGAUCACUUCUUGAUCAUAGUUUCACGAUCGUGCUUUGCCUUCUCUUCUCGCUCUCAUUUGCGUAUGUUUAGCCACCAUAUAUGCUAGUCGCUUGCUGCAGCUCCACCUCAUACCUUUUACCCUACCUAUAAGCUUAAAUAGUCUUCAUUGCGAGGGCGCGAGAUUGCUGAGUCCCCGUGACUCACAGAUACUUCCAAACCAGUUUGCAGGUGCCGAUGUUACCGAGCAGGAGACGCAACCAAGCUAAAGGAGGAGCUCGAUGAAGAUCUUGUCCUUUGUGUUGUUUCGUUCUAGUGGAUCAGUAGUGGAGCCCAGUUGGGGUCGAUCGGGGAUCUAUGUAGCAUUUGGGGUAGUCUUCUUUUAUUUUGGUUCUGUAGUCGGACCUUGAUUGUAUCUGUUUGAUGUAAUGCUUUAUUCAUGUAUUUGUGUGUAGUGGCGAUUGUAAGCCAACUAUGUAUCUCUUUCCCUUAUGUAUUACAUGGGUUAUGUGAAGAUUACCUCACUUGCGACAUUGCUUUCAAUGCGGUUAUGC
This 2306-nucleotide long non-coding RNA is filed under the name Triticum aestivum (bread wheat). Its description in RNAcentral is "long non-coding RNA (TAES_LNC010366)". Lineage: Eukaryota; Viridiplantae; Streptophyta; Magnoliopsida; Poales; Poaceae. The record is from RNAcentral.